CAGCAAACAGCCCUGAGACAGUCCCCUUUGUGGCAGAAUGAUGCUGCAAUAUAUAUUCAGUGAAAUAGUGCCAGGGUCAAACUGCUAGACUGCCAACAUCUGCCCAUAUCAAGACAAAACAUCCCAGGAUACUUUCAUAUUUUGAAAGAGUGAGGCUACCAUCUUAUGACAACAUUUGGAAAUGAUAAAAGGAUAAAGUGAGGACCCCCUGUCUGUUUAUAUUAACACUGUAUAUCCAUAAACAGGAACGAAUCAAUUGAACACUUAUCGAUCUGUCAGGGUAGAACAUUCAUUCUUAGAAAGAUGGUUUGCUGUUAACCUAUUGACCUGGAGCAAUCAUGACCUAGAACUUUGAGGCACACAGCCAUGACUUUUUAAUGUGAACAGGAAAACCGUGUAACAGCUUUGAUAUAAAAUAGACAAGGAUUAAUACUAGAAACAGAUGAAAACUCAAGGUAGCUUUUAGAAAAUGUGAAUCUAAUCUCCCAGAAUGCUAGAACUGUCAGAAACAGCAGAGGAAGGACCUUCUACUGCAACAGAAAUGAUGUCCACCUACUGAUCCUGCUGGUCUGAGGCUGAAAACCAGACGGAGGGUCCACAAACUCCCCAGGCAGAUGUCUAUACACAAACAGACCUCCCAAGGAUAAAAAGAGCUGCUCAGAUUCUUAGUUCCAGGCAACUCCAGUCUCUGAAAGUCCCCCAGGCCCUGAAGGCAGAGCUGGGUGUAAUGGGUGCAAGUUUGCCCAGCUGAAUUAACUUCUCAGAAAGGUGGCUCUGUUGCGAGAGGAGCUCAUCGGACUACGUAGCAUCCAGGAAUCUGAGUGGGAGAUUAACAAAUGGUAUGUUCUGACACACGCCAAGCAACAGCCCUGCCUUAAAUCCUGGCAAGACUAAGGUAAACAGGCUUCCAGCCUUGAACAAACAUAUUUGAAAGUCUCACAGGACAAAGAAGAGUGGACCCUUGUCUUUGCCUGGAACUUGAAAACGAAUCCUUGCCCCAAAAGUACCACUGAACAACAGAUACGAUGCAAGAGAGAGGAGACUCCGAGAGUAAUAGUAAAGACCUCAGAAAGGCCAACCAUACAAAGUUGGCUCAGUCUCCUACCUAUAUCAGAACCAAUGCCACAAAAAAAAAAAAGGCAUGAAGGAUGUUAGUAAUUGGAGACUCCUCUCUGAGAAGCACUGAGGCUCCCAUUUUCCAUCCGGAUAAUCUCUCCAGAGAGGUUUGCUGACUGCCUGGGGCCUGCAUUUAUAAUACUACAAAGAGGCUACCAAGCCCAGUGGGUUCCAAAGAUUACCACCCCUUCCUACUUUUUCAUGUAGAACCAAACAAGGCUGCAAAAAGAAGACUCUGAAACAUCAAAAGGGACUUUAUUUCUCUUGGAAAGAUGUUGAAGGCAUCAGGAUAGCGAGUACUGUUCUCCUCUGUCCUCCCAGUUGGUGACUGGUACCCAAGAGGAAGGAGAUGAAUGGACCAAGUGAAUGACUGACUGUGAGACUGGUGGCAUGCUCUAGGUUUUAGGUUCUACAAUCUUAGACGCACUUUUGAGAGACCAUGUGUGUGACACCAGAAGGGGUGCAGCUGACCAAGUGGGACUAGAGUGUUCUGUGCAGGCAGCUGGCUGGGAUUCUCACAAGGGAUUUAUACUAGUUGUGGUGGGGGAAGUGGAUGUACCUCUGAGUGAAGGAAGCAAACCUGGGAACAUUGUCACACAAAGAAACAAUAGGGAAAUGCUUGUGAAAUGUCCCAAAGUAAUCAGGAAAAGUUCUUCUGGAAAAGUGAUGCAACCAAUAGUCCAGCCAAAGUGCCUUCAUACCAACACAAGCAGCAUGGGAAACAAGCAGGAGGAGUUGGAAACCAUGGUGUAAUUACAAAAAUAUGACCCUAAUGCUGUCACAGAAACAUUGUAGGACAGAUCACACAACUGGAACACUGGAAUAGAGGGCUACAAGUUCUUCAGAAGAGACAGACAGUGAAGAAGGGGAGAGGGUGUUUACAUUAGAGAAGGGAAUGACUGCAAAGUGUUGCCUCUGAGAGAGAGCCACCGACAGGUUGAGAGCUUGUGGGUGAGAGUUAAGGACCACACGCUGAGGUUGGAAUCUACUACAGGACACCUAACCAAGGGGAGCCUGUGGAUGAGGCAUUCUUGCUUCAACUUGCUUCAACAAGCAGCAUCACAAUGCUCUCAUCCUGAUGAGGGACUUCAACCACAAGGUUGUCUACUGGGAAAGCCACACAGCAGGCUGUGAGCAAUCCAGGAGAUUCCUAGAGUGCAUUGAGGAUAACUUCCUGGUAUUAGACAAACCAACUAGAGGAGAAGUGUUACUGGAGCUGGUGUUCACCAGUGUGGAUAAACUCAUUAAAGUUUAUCCGCACAGCACAAGAAGGGGUCCAGAGGAGGGCCAUGAAGUUGGUUAGAGGGCUGGAGCAUGUCUCCUAUGAAGAAAAGCAGAGAGAGGUGGGUCUGUUCAGCUUACAGAAGAGAAGGCGCUGGGGUGACCUUAUUGCAGCUUUUCAGUACUGAAAGGCUUAGUAAAAAGGGCUUAGAAAAAAGAUGGAAAGAAACUUUUUGCUCAGUCAGAUAAUGGCAAGAGAAGGGGGAAUGGUUUUAAACUAAAAGAGGGGAGAUUUUGAUUAGAGGUUAGGAGGAAAUUCUUCACUUGGAGGGUGG
Anas platyrhynchos (mallard) is the source of this 2672-nucleotide long non-coding RNA. RefSeq lists it as uncharacterized. NCBI's taxonomy places the organism in Eukaryota, Metazoa, Chordata, Aves, Anseriformes, Anatidae. The record is from RefSeq and is a predicted model, not a curated record.